AGCAGUAAUUAGAUAUGCUCCUUUCUGGAACUUCCGCUUAAAUGAUUAGGGAGCCCAAUGCAGAGCAGUGAAAGAUACCCCAAUACUGUGAUGACUUGAUCUUGUAAGGACUCAUCACUUCUCAGGGAUCAUCAAAACGCUGGCUCUUCUCUAUCAAAUGAAAUCCCUCCCCGACCUCAACUCAGUUACCCCCCUCAAACGAGAUGAUAAGAUCAAGGCACAGUUCCCAGCUACCACAACCACCUGUAACUCCACGACCAAGGUUCCAGUGCCCUUUUCUGAUCUGCACAAGCACCAGUAUGUAUUGUUUUAACUCUGCCCGGCCCUGCUUAUCUGACGAAAGUGGAAGUCGGUCGACAGUGGUUUCGACAGCACAGCGUUAAAGCCAGCAGCAGCCGCACACUGGGGAUUUUGUGGGGGCACUUCGGAGACGCUUCGGAGAGAGAGGCUGUUGGCAGGGCUGUUUCGAUGCUCGAGAUAGUUCCCCCCAAGAUAUGAACAGCGUCUUUGUCUAAACUCAAGAUAAAGAGAUGUGUCAGCUUCCUCAAACAGGAUAUUCGAAU
This is a long non-coding RNA of Peromyscus maniculatus bairdii (prairie deer mouse), 563 nucleotides long. RefSeq lists it as uncharacterized. The record is from RefSeq and is a predicted model, not a curated record. NCBI's taxonomy places the organism in Eukaryota, Metazoa, Chordata, Mammalia, Rodentia, Cricetidae.